GACGAACGCUGGCGGCGUGCUUAACACAUGCAAGUCGAACGGAAAGGCCCCUUUGGGGGUACUCGAGUGGCGAACGGGUGAGUAACACGUGAGUAACCUGCCCUUGACUUCGGGAUAACUUCAGGAAACUGGGGCUAAUACCGGAUAGGAAUCCUUGCUGCAUGGUGGGGGGUGGAAAGCUUCGGCGGUUUUGGAUGGACUCGCGGCUUAUCAGCUUGUUGGUGGGGUAGUGGCUUACCAAGGCUUCGACGGGUAGCCGGCCUGAGAGGGCGACCGGCCACAUUGGGACUGAGAUACGGCCCAGACUCCUACGGGAGGCAGCAGUGGGGAAUAUUGCACAAUGGGCGGAAGCCUGAUGCAGCAACGCCGCGUGCGGGAUGACGGCCUUCGGGUUGUAAACCGCUUUCAGCAGGGGCGAAGCUUGUGGUGACGGUACCUGCAGAAGAAGCACCGGCUAACUACGUG
RNAcentral lists this ribosomal RNA (465 nucleotides) under uncultured bacterium. RNAcentral describes it as "partial 16S ribosomal RNA". It matches the Rfam family "Bacterial small subunit ribosomal RNA", at positions 28 to 507 of the family's 1533-position model. The record is from RNAcentral.